RNAcentral lists this long non-coding RNA (1632 nucleotides) under Paramuricea clavata. Lineage: Eukaryota; Metazoa; Cnidaria; Anthozoa; Malacalcyonacea; Plexauridae. The record is from RNAcentral.
UUUAUCACCAUGCAAACAUACAGAGAACUUAAUACACAGUAUGGCUUUUGACUCAUUUCAUGUAUAGCUAAUGAUGUCCUAUGUGUACUAUCAUGUUUUUCUUACAGUCUAUAUAGCCUUUUACGUCAUAUUUUUCUGUCGCCAUGCGACAAUUUACUAUGCGACGGCCCUUUUGGCAAACAGUUUGAAUAUUUUAUUGAUGUUUGGAUUCGUUUUUAAUUCAACCAUAUUUGAUUCUUAAGGCAUAUUUGAUUCUGAAAACUUAUGUUUAUGAUGAGUUUACACAAAAUUCAGACAACAUGUAAAGUUUACCAUGAAAACGGCCUGUUCAUAUGAGCCUGAUUACAGAAACAUCUCGGCUGGUGGGACGAAUCAUAUCGACGCUCAGAUUUUGGCUACCGAGAUAAAAGUCAAAAGAAGUUACUAUAAUUAAAAAGCAUUUCAAAUUAUUCUCAUAUAUUUCUAGUAUGCAUAUGUAUUUUUGGAUUUAUUUAGCGAAAGUCUUUUUUUAUAAAACAUUUGAUACUUUCUCAAAGAUACAAAAAACAAUAAAAAAAUUAUUAAUUUAAACGGUUUAAUCUGCCGAAUUUCGUUUACAUGAUUUUAUCACUGGCGUGCCAAUAUAGAAAUGUUUCGUCUGAGCUAAGCUGGUUGUCUUGGUAAGCAAGCUGAUAUGAAUAUAGACCUUCUCCAAAUCUCUAUUUCUCUCUGUAAUUAUAGUGGGAAUAACAUGACGUGGCGCGCCGAUGUCGGCGUGAAAUAGAGACUUGUACAUAUUGGGCCCGGAAGUAAGCCAGUACAAUACAAUUGCUAAUAAAUUUUCCAUUCAAAACUCAACAGGAAUUAAUUCCUGAGAAGACAUUGAAUAUGAACAAAAUACUUAUAAACAAAAACUAAACAAAAGCAAAUAAAACAAAAUAGAUCAUGAAACUUAAAGAUGUACUACACUUAAAACGAGAAAUUAAACAAUGAUUAUGGAAUUUUAAUUAUGUCAUAUCCAAUGUGUACAAGUCGUUUCUAUCUCAAGCCCGCCCUGGCGUGCCACGUCAUGUCAUACGCACUAUAGUGGAUCAAAGAAAUAGGGACUUGGAUGAAGUCUAAUAUGAACAGAUAGACAGUAUUGUUUCUUUAAAGUGUAUGAAAUGAAAAUUAUCAUGCAAGUAGCUAGUUUCUGUGUACGGAAUUAUUCAAAUGGAUUUUUUUAAUAGAUCUCCUCAGUUUCUCCUAAUUCAGUUCUUGUUAACACUUUUGCGAGUUGGUUUCUUUUCAAUUUAAUGAUAUUCGUGUACGAACCAGGCAAUCGCAUUACAAUGACAAUAAAACUAAAAUAAUACGUCAUUUAAAAAUGUAAAUAACAUUGAAAUGCUUGCAAUUUGCAAACCAAGCUGAAGAGAUCUAUUACGCAAGAUGGCGCCAUAUUGUGAUCACAGAAACAUCGAAAGUGUAAACCAGCCUUGAAGUUCACUUAUUUCAACAUUAGACUAAUUUGAUACAUUGUGUUCUCAAGUUAGCUUCAAUAUUGGUUUAGCACUUCCCCAUGCGCGCACGACAUCUGUUAUGAGCCACCUUUAGCGUUGACUUUCACAAAAUGGAUUCAAAAGAUUUAGUUGUUUUGUGAUGAGAUCAAGAGAA